RNAcentral lists this long non-coding RNA (2575 nucleotides) under Marmota monax (woodchuck). The record is from RNAcentral. Lineage: Eukaryota; Metazoa; Chordata; Mammalia; Rodentia; Sciuridae.
ACAAUUCCUCUACCUCAACCUCCAAGUCAGUGGGAUUGCAGCCAUGUGCCAGCCAACCUGGCACAGGGCUUCUACUUUUGAGGCCAAGGGGAGGUAUGGACCUGGAGCUGAGUCACAUAGCUGUGAUGGGUGUCUUCUGUUCUACAGAGUAGCCAAGGCAGAGUUAUAAGGGAAGAUACUGCAAGGUUCUAGUUGCCAUCUCUGUAGUGAGUCUUCUUCCUGCCACCCUGGGUCACCCACACUGAAUCUCCAUCUUCCCUCCUGCAGCUGGCUCCUGCCACUUUGCAAGAACUUGGCAUGAGCCUUUACCCCCACUUGGUGGGCUGGUCUCUGGUCCUUGGCCCCUGGCAGGCUGUGUGAACAUGAGGGUGAGAACACUAGUGGGGUGCUUGAAUGGAGCUCAGGGCUCUUUGCAUCCCACACCUUGAAGUUGAUCUGGGGUGUUUCACAUGGUGCAUGGUGCAUGGUGCAUGGUGACGCAUGGCUGGCACUGUUAGUAGCUGCCCAGCUCUCCUAUGGUCCGUAGCCCUUGGCAAGGGCCCUCUUGACCUACACCACCCAUCUACACUUGGUCUUCUGCCAGCCUCAUCCUGUUUCCUAACUCAGUGCCAAGAGGGACACUGGUUUGCCCUGAGGAGCUUGGAAGGGGCCCUCCUGGGGCAGAUCCAGGAGGUGGUCCCCUGGGAAGGGUGUGGAUGAUGUGGUGGCAGGUGUUGGGGGUGCAAAAGACGUCGAAGUGUCAAAGCAUGUUGAGAGUUUGGGCGCAGGUGCACAAAGCCAGUCAAGCUGGUCAUCCCAAACUGGAGCACUAGGUGUGUGUAUCUCAGGAGCACAUGCACAUGGCAUAAGGUAUGGAGAGCCCACCCUGCAACUCUCAGCUACAUGGAAUCUAGCCAUCCGGUGGCUUCUCCCUGGGGGAAGCCCACAACUGCCCUGCCUUCCCCUAUGUCUUGUCCAAAGAGGCCACAAACUUCCCAGGACACAACAGCCUAGCCUCAAACCCUCCUGGGAAGGAAGCAUGCAUUCCCACCUCAAGCCUCAAGAUGUGGCCAGGUCCAGCUUGGGCUCAGUUCUCAGAUCCAUCCCCUGCCCAGGCGUCCAGUGUCCCAGCUCAGAAACCCCCUCUGGCCAAUCUCGGCCCUGCCUCCAUGUCUCUGUCUUUGGAGGACUCACUAGUGACUCUGGACACAGCUGGGGUGGAGCAAGUCAUCCUAGCCACAGGCUUCCAGCAUGCUCCACCCAAGCAGAAAGCAUGGAUAGUACCUGCUGCUGUCACAGACCAGAGGGACCUGGAGCACUGCUGAAGACAGAUCCUCCUCACUGACUCCUCCCCACCUUCCUGUCAGGUGGGCAUGUGGGAUCCUCCUCAAAAGAGGACACAGAGGCCCCCUCACUUGCAAAUUAAGGCAGCAGAUGUCCCCAGCAUGAAGACAGGAAAGGAUAAGGGUCCCCAGGAAUUCUCCAGGGAAAUGCAAAUGCUGUGCCUUGGGGGCUGACUCAGCAGAAGCAGGGAUACAUUGUCAAAUAUUGGACUGUGUUCUGAGAACCUGCAUUUCACAGUGUGUAGUGCAAGAAAGUGGGGAAAACAAGUCAGUGCACAAGGUGAAUGUACCCACAUCUGAAGCCCAGGUCCCUAUAAGGUGUGGAGCAGGGUCAGCCCAUAGCCUUCAUCACAGCAAGAAGAGAACAAAAGUGAAAACAACUGGUGCGUAUUGCAUCUGCAACAUGCGGGAUUCUUGCCAUCCCUUAAAUGCAAAAUAAGGAGAAGAAAAGAAUGAGGAAGAGGAGGAGGAAGAGAAGAAAGGAAGGAUGAAGAAAUGAGCCCAGUAUAGUCCAAAAGAGACAUAUAGACCCAGAGAGAAGCAUUGCUCCUGCCUGGACUUCUGACCCUCUGUGGCCAGGCAGAGUUGAGAGCAGGACCAUCAUUGUCCUCCUGAGCCAUCCUGAUGGAAGGCCUGGGCCAGGCAGCAUUGUUUCCAGUGUGAGCUGUUCUUGGCACUAUUGGUGCUGCUGCUGGGAAGCUUGGGAGGGUUAGGGAGCUCAGGGCCCUGAUAUUACAAGAUCCGUCUUCCCCACUAGACUGAUGAGGGCCUUAAGAGAGACUGUGUGUACUCAGGGAAAUCCCCUUGGUCCAGAACACUGGAGAGGGGGUUUAGACCUGGAAAGAUCUCAGGGGGAAGGCAGAGAUGAAAACUGCUGGGCAAGACCCAGAGUGGCCAGCAGUCUGGAAGUCUACUGAGAAUCCCACUGUAGGUCUGCAGCCCAGAUAUGAGCAAGAGAGUCAGCUUGCAGGCUGAGAGAAUGUGGGACGGGAGUCCCAGAGCAAACUCACUGCACAGUGGGAGACAGCAUUUAGUGAGGUGCUUCAGUCCAGAUAGAUCCUGGAGGAACUUGAGUCAGGACACACAUGGGCUUGGAGAUGAUAGACCAGGCUCUGAAGUGUAUGAGCUGGGCUGUGGGCAAUCUUGGGAAGUGGGAGGCAAAGCAACUUUCAGAGGACUUCUGAAAAAAGAGAGAGAGAGCUUUCUUUUCUAAUAUAGGUAUUUAAAGCUAUAAAUUUGCUGGACACAGUGGC